AACGAACGCUGGCGGCAGGCUUAACACAUGCAAGUCGAACGCCCCGCAAGGGGAGUGGCAGACGGGUGAGGAACACGUGGGAACGUACCCUUCGGUUCGGAACAACCCUGGGAAACUAGGGCUAAUACCGGAUACGAGCGAGAGCUGAAAGGUUUACCGCCGAAGGAUCGGCCCGCGUCUGAUUAGCUAGUUGGUGAGGUAACGGCUCACCAAGGCGACGAUCAGUAGCUGGUCUGAGAGGAUGAUCAGCCACAUUGGGACUGAGACACGGCCCAAACUCCUACGGGAGGCAGCAGUGGGGAAUAUUGGACAAUGGGCGCAAGCCUGAUCCAGCCAUGCCGCGUGAGUGAUGACGGCCCUAGGGUUGUAAAGCUCUUUUACUCGGGAAGAUAAUGACGGUACCGGGAGAAUAAGCCCCGGCUAACUUCGUGC
Molecule: ribosomal RNA, 432 nt
Filed under: uncultured bacterium
Lineage: Bacteria
Description: bacterial SSU rRNA
Rfam family: Bacterial small subunit ribosomal RNA
Source: RNAcentral